This 253-nucleotide ribosomal RNA is filed under the name uncultured bacterium. Its description in RNAcentral is "partial 16S ribosomal RNA". It matches the Rfam family "Bacterial small subunit ribosomal RNA", at positions 524 to 776 of the family's 1533-position model. The record is from RNAcentral.
UACGGGGGGUGCGAGCGUUGUCCGGAAUCACUGGGCGUAAAGGGCGCGUAGGCGGCCGAUCAAGUCGGGGGUGAAAGCCUGUGGCUCAACCACAGAAUUGCCUUCGAUACUGUUUGGCUUGAGACCGGAAGAGGUAAGUGGAACUGCGAGUGUAGAGGUGAAAUUCGUAGAUAUUCGCAAGAACACCAGUGGCGAAGGCGGCUUACUGGUCCGGUUCUGACGCUGAGGCGCGAAAGCGUGGGGAGCAAACAGG